GGGAGGUUUACUCUAGGAAUACAAUGUUAAGGAUCCAAUUACUUCAUCUGCCUGUGUCGAUGAGCACCUGAGCUUGGUGUCUGAUCAGUCUAACUUUCCCGACAGCAGGGUUGUUUGUGUAUGUUCCAGCUCCGGAAGCAUGGUUCUGAUUCAGGUUAAUUUGGAUGCCACCGAAGGUGCAAGUCCAAGGAAUUUCAAUGUUGAGGAAUUAGCAGGUCUCUACAGGAACAAUGAGUUGUUCUAUAUAGAUGAUUUUUGUUGUAAAUUAUAUUGCUUCUUGUUAUCAAUGUUUUAACAGUUGCAUGAGCAUCCUUAAUCGUUCUCGCACCCAAGGUGACAACUGGGUUGCAUUUGUUGAUUUAUGAAAAUGCAAAAGCUUGUUUUUGGUCAAUAGGAAUCUUCAUUUUUAUUUUUUUUAAACGUUUAGGUGCAAUUUGUUAUCAUAUGAAAUUAUGACUCCUACAAUUUAUCUGA
Molecule: long non-coding RNA, 474 nt
Organism: Rosa rugosa (rugosa rose)
Lineage: Eukaryota; Viridiplantae; Streptophyta; Magnoliopsida; Rosales; Rosaceae
Exons: 2
Source: RefSeq, a predicted model, not a curated record